Molecule: long non-coding RNA, 426 nt
Filed under: Eutrema salsugineum
Lineage: Eukaryota; Viridiplantae; Streptophyta; Magnoliopsida; Brassicales; Brassicaceae
Description: long non-coding RNA (ESAL_LNC002214)
Source: RNAcentral
AACCGUAGGGGCCACAGCACCGAAGAAUGCAGGCAUCUGCGAGAAUAUCUACUCGGUCUAUAUCGCAAGGAGCCGAUCUCGGUCGACGAACUCUGACGCUCGAACGCGUCUAAGAGCGGUGGACAACUUUCGAUCGACGAUCUCCGUCGUUCACAUAUGCCUCGACCAAACAAUGAACAGCUUGAGAAAGUACUCGCCAAAGAUCCACCAACUCCACCGGCUUUACCGACGUUACCACCGCCACCACCGAAUCCGCCUGUUUUGUCCGAGCAACAGAAACGGAAUUGUGAUGACCGAGCACCAGAGAAUCACGCUCCUAAGGCACGGAAGCGUGUCAACAUGAUAAUGGGGGCAAUCGAAGCUUGCAGUUAUUCGGUCCGAGCCAUCAAAGAGUACAGCAGACAGGCCGCCAGCGCGCCCAAAGCC